AUGAGUUGUAUGAUCUUAUGCAAGGGAGACACGCAACUUGGCCCAGGCGAGGCGCGGAGCAGUCGCGAGGGUGGCAACGGGUGUUGGAAAGCGCUUCAUAAUGAUUAAAGAAACUCAAAACGACCAUAUCGACGGCCAGUUAUGGAUAAACGAGUUAGAACGGUCGAUUUAACAACAAAAUAUGCUUAAAUUGGAGUAUGUUCAUAAUGGAUUGAUGUCUAAUUAAACUAGUUAGGCAUUUAAUUAAUUGGUGGGCUGAUAUCCAAAUUCAAGUUGGGCCAAGUUGAUAAUUAAGUAGUUUGAGCAAUAGAUGAUUUGGGCUACAACCUAAAAAAUCACAAGACUCAAAUGUUAGUACAACUUUAUAGUUAAAAAUAAGACAACAUUAUAUAAGACUCUGAGAAGUUUGAGUAUUGUAAAAAUUGGUUAUUUUGUA
Molecule: long non-coding RNA, 436 nt
Filed under: Helianthus annuus (common sunflower)
Lineage: Eukaryota; Viridiplantae; Streptophyta; Magnoliopsida; Asterales; Asteraceae
Description: hypothetical non coding rna
Source: RNAcentral